This 164-nucleotide ribosomal RNA is filed under the name uncultured fungus. RNAcentral's name for it is "5.8S ribosomal RNA". It matches the Rfam family "5.8S ribosomal RNA". From Rfam's summary of the family: 5.8S ribosomal RNA (5.8S rRNA) is a component of the large subunit of the eukaryotic ribosome. It is transcribed by RNA polymerase I as part of the 45S precursor that also contains 18S and 28S rRNA. Lineage: Eukaryota; Fungi. The record is from RNAcentral.
CAACUGUUAACAACGGAUAUCUUGGCUCUUGUAACGAUGAAGAACGCAGCAAACUGCGAUAAGUAGUGUGAACUGCAGAACUCAGUGAAUCAUCGAAUCUUUGAACGCAUGUGGCGCUCUUGGGAUAUCCCUUGAGCAUGCCUGUUUGAGUGUCGGUUCCUAAA